Molecule: long non-coding RNA, 704 nt
Organism: Acanthochromis polyacanthus (spiny chromis)
Lineage: Eukaryota; Metazoa; Chordata; Actinopteri; Pomacentridae
Exons: 5
Source: RefSeq, a predicted model, not a curated record
CCAAGACAGCAGGAAGUAGAAAACUAUAAAUCUGUGCGUAACUUCCGCGCUGCCUCUUAGUCCUGCAGGCAGAAACAUGGAGAGGAGGUGUCUGUUGAAGUUUCUGAUAACAAUCAAAUGCCGGCCUCCCUGUUGAACAAACCUGAUGGCUGAGUGUUAGGAUGGGAUGAAGCUGCCGUCCUCCUGCCCUGCCCGUGGGGCUGAAGGAGCUUUCUGCUGAGCUGACGGUCAUGCUGCAGACUGACUGAAGCUGCAUGUGGAGCCUCUGGCCUGCAGGGGGCAGUCCUCACCUUCAGGAAGCUCCGGCUGAGUGCAGUGUAAUCCUGCUGCUGUGGAUGAGCGGAUAUGCUGCCGACUGUCCACCUGCUGGGAGCUGAUCAAUCAUCAAUACGUCCGUCUGUUUAACUUCUCAAAGCUCAGGCUGCGUCUACACAUCUCCAGUACCUUUAAUCUACUUUAUUUCUUUAGGUACUUGUUAGGCCUGUACAACUUCAAGAACCUCAAACACGUUCAGACAUUCAGUUUACAGUAAUGGACCAAUUUAUUUUGAAGUUGAUCAGAUGUGAGAAUGUUUGGAAUUUGUUGAGAAAAUGAAUCCAAAAUGUAACAUUCAACAGGACAUGAACAGAAGUUUAACUGGGAUGUAAACACUGACCCUGAGUUGUCUAAACGUCUGAAUAAAAUGUUUUCUUCCUACACCUUAA